UGGCAGAAGGGGAGGGCGCGGUUCCUAGUCGAGCUGGCGGGAUUUAUCGCGUCAUCUGCACAAAAAACGCAGACCUAGAAUAGAAGUUACGGGCGGUCGGGCAAGUCAGGUCAGGUCAAAGUAGACCCUGUUACAAUACUGCCAUAUCUCACGUUCAGGAAUUUGUGGUUUAAUAUCGGUGUUAUAGAAAAUGUACAUUUAAAUGGAAUUGAGGUAAACAAUACUGAAACACGUGGCAGAAGCGGAGGGCGCGGUUCCUAGUUGAGCUGGCGGGAUUUAUCGCGUCAUCUGCACAAAAAACGCAGACCUAGAAUAGAAGUCAGGGGCGGUCGGGUCGGGUCAGGUCAGGUCAGGUCAAAGUAGACCCUGUUACAAUACUGCCAUAUCUCACGUUCAGGAAUUUGUAGUUUAAUAUCAGUGUUAUAGAAAGUGUACAUUUAAAUGGAAUAAUUGAGGUAAACAAUACUGAAACAUGUGGCAGAAGCGG
Zophobas morio is the source of this 487-nucleotide long non-coding RNA. RefSeq lists it as uncharacterized. Lineage: Eukaryota; Metazoa; Arthropoda; Insecta; Coleoptera; Tenebrionidae. The transcript is spliced from 3 exons. The record is from RefSeq and is a predicted model, not a curated record.